Molecule: long non-coding RNA, 226 nt
Filed under: Elaeis guineensis (African oil palm)
Lineage: Eukaryota; Viridiplantae; Streptophyta; Magnoliopsida; Arecales; Arecaceae
Description: long non-coding RNA (EGUI_LNC027164)
Source: RNAcentral
AGCAAAAAAGGAAAGCAAACAAUGUCCGAGGGCAACGGAAGCUCGGAUCUCCGAAUUCAAGCCCUAGGAGGGACCUCGGGCCCGAAUGACCCCAAGCGAACCUGCAGCCAUCAACGGAAUGACAAUUGGAUAUCUUCGAACGGCGUAAAAGCCAAAAAGGAGCUCGGCAAAUGACAACCCUACAUGGAUAGAAGAGGUCGUCGAUGACCUUGGGACAACGUGAAAA